RNAcentral lists this ribosomal RNA (252 nucleotides) under uncultured bacterium. Its description in RNAcentral is "partial 16S ribosomal RNA". It matches the Rfam family "Bacterial small subunit ribosomal RNA", at positions 524 to 776 of the family's 1533-position model. The record is from RNAcentral.
UACGUAGGGUGCAAGCGUUUGUCCGGAUUACUGGGCGUAAAGCGCGCGCAGGCGGCACUCUAAGUACGCUGUGAAAUAUCCCGGCUCAACCGGGAGGGUGCAGUGUAGACUAGGGAGCUAGAGGUCGGUAGAGGGGGUGGAAUUGCUGGUGUAGCGGUGAAAUGCGUAGAGAUCAGCAGGAACACCGGUGGCGAAGGCGGCCUGCUGGGCUAUGGCUGACACUGAGGCGCGACAGCGUGGGGAGCAAACAGG